UGGUGGAGUGAUUUGUCUGGUUGAUUCCGUUAACGAACGAGACCUCGACCUGCUCACUAGUCUGACCCAUUCCUCUGGAAUGGUUGUUCAGUACUUCUUAGAGGGACUAUCGGUGCGUAGCCGAUGGAAGUUCGAGGCAAUAACA
This 145-nucleotide ribosomal RNA is filed under the name uncultured eukaryote. Its description in RNAcentral is "partial 18S ribosomal RNA". It matches the Rfam family "Eukaryotic small subunit ribosomal RNA", at positions 1299 to 1458 of the family's 1831-position model. The record is from RNAcentral.